Molecule: ribosomal RNA, 439 nt
Filed under: uncultured bacterium
Lineage: Bacteria
Description: bacterial SSU rRNA
Rfam family: Bacterial small subunit ribosomal RNA
Source: RNAcentral
GCUAAACGCGAAGAACCUUACCAAGGCUUGACAUACACGAGAACACCCUGGAAACAGGGGACUCUUUGGACACUCGUGAACAGGUGGUGCAUGGUUGUCGUCAGCUCGUGUCGUGAGAUGUUGGGUUAAGUCCCGCAACGAGCGCAACCCUCGUUCUAUGUUGCCAGCGCGUAAUGGCGGGGACUCAUAGGAGACUGCCGGGGUCAACUCGGAGGAAGGUGGGGAUGACGUCAAAUCAUCAUGCCCCUUAUGUCUUGGGCUUCACGCAUGCUACAAUGGCCGGUACAAAGGGCUGCAAUACCGCAAGGUGGAGCGAAUCCCAAAAAGCCGGUCUCAGUUCGGAUUGAGGUCUGCAACUCGACCUCAUGAAGUCGGAGUCGCUAGUAAUCGCAGAUCAGCAACGCUGCGGUGAAUACGUUCCCGGGUCUUGUACACACCG